This is a long non-coding RNA of Serinus canaria (Common canary), 2325 nucleotides long. Ensembl annotates it as CD24 molecule. The record is from Ensembl. NCBI's taxonomy places the organism in Eukaryota, Metazoa, Chordata, Aves, Passeriformes, Fringillidae.
CGGACGGGGCGGGGAUGGGCGCGGACGGGCGGCGGGGCGAGCCCGGAGCCCUGGGACGGCGGUGGCGGUGCCGUGGAUUACCUCGGUCAAAUCAAAAAAGAUCGAGUUGGAGUUGGCCGCCUAUUUUGUUUCCCGUGGGAUCCUCGAGGGAAAGCCGCGGAACCGCGGCGUGAGCGGCAGCUGAGCGUUCAUUUCCCCGCUGAUCAGAGGGAGAACGAUGCCUCCCAAGCCGGGAGAGCUCCGGGAAGGCCCGAGUUUUGCAGCGGGACCCGGGUCUGCUCCUCCCCACACCCGAAGCUGCGUGGCAGGACUCGGCUCUCGCAGGACGGGAGGUUUAGGGGCUGGAAGCGAAGGCGGCAGCCGCUGGCUGCUGCGCUGGCCGAGCCUUGCCCUUGGCGCAAAGAUCUACUGUGGUUCCAAUGGAACAAGUCCAACACCUUCAAACCAUUCUUCAGCAAGUUCCACUUCUCUGUCAGCUGUCACAAAUUCAGUGAACAAUACCACCACUCACGGACAUGGAAAUUCUCUUCACUCAACCACAAGUCUUUUUUUCAUUCUCUCCGUUUCUCUUCUGUAUUUUUGCUGUUAAGAGACUCUGGCAUGGAAAUGGCUACCACUCCCCACCCCAUUUCCUGAACCGCCCGAGAUGGCUUGAUCUCCAACCCAGCAUGAGAAGAAAUCAAUCCAAACUCCACAUCAAACCAGCUUGGUUCCACUCCAUACUCAAAUUAGUACCAGUCUGACCUAGAGAAACACUCAGUAUUCUGACUUUCAAAGCUGACCAGUGAGAAAAAAUCAGCUUCAGCAAGGAGGUAAAAUUAUGAGCUCUUUCAUCAAAUGAGUUGGAAUCUGAAAAACAAGAUGGAAACAAACAGAGACAGUACAGAGAACCCAAAUUUAAAGCUGAGAAGAAGUACAGUAUCUUAUAAUAAGGAUGGAUAAUAACACUCCAUGAAGAAAAAAGGCUAGAGAGUUUAUCUACCAUUUAGAAUAAGGACUUAAAGAGUUUUUAUUUUUUAAGUUCAAAAACAUCAACAGGCCCAUAGAAUCCCUAGAAAACACAGAAAAGCUCAAAUAAUUCUGUUUCUUGCACAGCCUGUAUGGUUAUAACUUAUGGGUAUUAGGAUGUAUGAAAAAAGUGAAAAGGGUUUCUUCUAGAUUUCAGUUGUAUUAAAUUGCUACAAGGCUAAAAUAGAAUAACAAAUUUUUUUGCAAGAAUCCUCUUAUUUAACCCCUGAUUCCUAACCAAUGGUUAGCCAGGCUGGGCUAGUUUUGAAAUAGCUAAAACCCCAUCAGUUUUCAUAAGAGUGGAAUUAUUUAUGGUGGGAAUUUGAAUUUGACAUUUUAUUUAAAUUGUUUGUAUAUUAAACCAUAUGUGCCAGAGAAAGGAGGUCUGGAAACAUUAGAAAAAGUACCAGGAGCUUUUCUGAAUUUCAUUUCCAAAAGAACAAACAAACAAGUCAAUGGAUAUGUGUCUCCUAUUUGCUUUCUUUCUCCUCCCAAGUUGUAUAAGUUUUUGCUCCUGGAACUUUCCUUAAUUAUGAAGGAUUUAUGAAAUCUUAUGAGUAAUGUUAUAAUAUUGCCUUUUUUUUUUCUUUUUUUUUUUUUUUGGCACAAGGUGAAUAACUUACUGUUUUUUGAAGAGUUUUAAUUGUGAUAGUCUACUCUAAACCUGGGCUAAUAUUUGUGGUGGGGAGAAUGGAAUGGGGAGAGGAGAGCAAACCGCCAAAAAAAAAAAUUAAAUGAACAGGUGUUUGGAAUAUGAAGACUGGAGUCUUAAUUUAAUCACUGAAUUUAAAAAAUACCUAAUUACAUUUGUAAAUACUACUUUUUAAAAUUUUUUUCUGAAUCAAAAUUGCUACACUUGCACAGAUUUUUUCUGUAUCAUCCAACACUUUAGAAAAUACUAUCUGGUACUUGAUCUUAGCAAGCUUUGUUGAGGAGGUUCAACUACCUUGAUGAUGAUACCUUGUCAGAAAAAAAUUAACUCUGUUGAUAUGAUCACAUGUGAAUGUACAUGAUCAUACCACUGUCUGUAGAUAUUUAUCUCAGUAUAAGAUCAUGUCAAACAUGAGUGGCUCUCUAAUUUUUUAAUACACAUCUGUCUUUCAGUUAUAUUACCACCAAUUCACAGUACCAUAUAUUAGAAGCAAGCUAACACAAAUUCAUGUCAGUGAGCGUACAUGGACAUUUCCUUAUGCUUAUCAUUUGUAUCCAGUAAAGUGUUAAUGAUUGUAUUUUGUGUUUGUGUAAUAAUGCUUUGAUUUAUUAGCUACUGAUUUUCAUUGAAAAAACUUGUAAAUAAAACAGUGGGCAGGCAAUGCA